Pocillopora damicornis (cauliflower coral) is the source of this 313-nucleotide long non-coding RNA. The record is from RefSeq and is a predicted model, not a curated record. Lineage: Eukaryota; Metazoa; Cnidaria; Anthozoa; Scleractinia; Pocilloporidae.
AUACUCAAGAUGGCGAACAAGUACUUCUCUAUCUCUUUGAGACGUUUCCACCCUUUUUAAGACGGACUUUUUGCUCUUCUUUCGUACAGAUGGAUGUGAUGAAGAGAGAACAAUGACAUGCUCAAAUAUCUGCAUCAAGAAAUGUACAAUCCACGUUAUAUGAGAAAGUAGGUCAAUAAAAGACUGGUUUGUCCUUAGAAUACAAGUCAGCUAUGUUGCAAGUAAAGAAGAGUCAUCGUUAGUCUCUUAUGCCGAGAGUCAUUUCAGAUUGUAUGAUGGAGUGGAAACGUUUCUCUUGUUCAUUGGUUAUCCA